UGGGGAAUCUCGCGCAAUGGGGGAAACCCUGACGCAGCCAUGCCGCGUGGAUGAUGAAGGUCUUAGGAUUGUAUAAUCCUUUCAGCGGGGACGAUAAUGACGGUACCCGCAGAAGAAGCCCCGGCUAACUUCGUGCAAGCAGCCGCGGUAAUACGAAGGGGGCUAGCGUUGCUCGGAAUUACUGGGCGUAAAGGGCGCGUAGGCGGAUAGUUCAGUCGGGGGUGAAAGCCCGGGGCUCAACCUCGGAACUGCCUUCGAUACUGGCUAUCUUGAGUACGGGGGAGGUGUGUGGAACUCCGGGUGUAGAGGUGAAAUUCGUAGAUAUUCGGAAGAACACCAGUGGCGAAGGCGACACACUGGCCCGUUACUGACGCUGAGGCGCGAAAGCGUGGGGAGCAAAC
Molecule: ribosomal RNA, 401 nt
Filed under: uncultured bacterium
Lineage: Bacteria
Description: bacterial SSU rRNA
Rfam family: Bacterial small subunit ribosomal RNA
Source: RNAcentral